Molecule: ribosomal RNA, 664 nt
Filed under: uncultured cyanobacterium
Lineage: Bacteria; Bacillati; Cyanobacteriota
Description: bacterial SSU rRNA
Rfam family: Bacterial small subunit ribosomal RNA
Source: RNAcentral
UCGGACGGGUGAGUAACGCGUGAGAAUCGGCCCUCAGGUUGGGGACAACCAUUGGAAACGAUGGCUAAUACCGAAUAAGCCGAAAGGUGAAAGAUUUAUUGCCUGGGGAAGAGCUCGCGUCUGAUUAGCUAGUUGGUGGGGUAAAGGCCUACCAAGGCACCGAUCAGUAACUGGUCUGAGAGGAUGGCCAGUCACACUGGGACUGAGACACGGCCCAGACUCCUACGGGAGGCAGCAGUGGGGAAUUUUCCGCAAUGGGCGAAAGCCUGACGGAGCAAUACCGCGUGGGGGAGGAAGGCUCUUGGGUCGUAAACCUCUUUUCUCAGGGAAGAAAUAAAUGACGGUACCUGAGGAAUCAGCAUCGGCUAACUCCGCGCCAGCAGCCGCGGUAAUACGGAGGAUGCAAGCGUUAUCCGGAAUGAUUGGGCGUAAAGCGUCCGCAGGUGGCAGUGUAAGUCUGCUGUCAAAGGUCAGGGCUUAACCCUGAACAGGCAGUGGAAACUACACAGCUAGAGUGCGGUGGGGGCAGAGGGAAUUCCCAGUGUAGCGGUGAAAUGCGUAGAGAUUGGGAAGAACACCGGUGGCGAAAGCGCUCUGCUAGGCCGCAACUGACGCUCAUGGACGAAAGCUAGGGGAGCGAAUGGGAUUAGAUACCCCAGUAGUC